GGGAAGUGAUGAGUGGUUGGUUCUCGCAAUGAAGAUGGCGGAUGGGUGUCAGCCCCAAAAGCCUGGUUAUUACAUCUGGACACUCUAAUCUUUAACUCGUCUGAUCCC
Molecule: small nucleolar RNA, 108 nt
Organism: Alnus glutinosa
Lineage: Eukaryota; Viridiplantae; Streptophyta; Magnoliopsida; Fagales; Betulaceae
Product: small nucleolar RNA Z279/snoR105/snoR108
Exons: 1
Source: RefSeq, a predicted model, not a curated record